RNAcentral lists this non-coding RNA (27 nucleotides) under Homo sapiens (human). Lineage: Eukaryota; Metazoa; Chordata; Mammalia; Primates; Hominidae. The record is from RNAcentral.
UGGAAGGUGUCUCUGAGAGGUAAUGCC